Molecule: unclassified non-coding RNA, 331 nt
Filed under: soil metagenome
Description: partial contains 5.8S ribosomal RNA, internal transcribed spacer 2, and large subunit ribosomal RNA
Rfam family: 5.8S ribosomal RNA (bases 1-119)
Source: RNAcentral
GAUGAAAACGCAGCGAAAUGCGAUAAGUAGUGUGAAUUGCAGAAUUCAGUGAAUCAUCGAAUCUUUGAACGCACAUUGCGCCCUUUGGUAUUCCUUAGGGCAUGCCUGUUCGAGCGUCAUUUAAACCUUCAAGCUAAGCUUGGUGUUGGGUGACUGUCCGCUUCACGGCGGACUCGCCUCAAAAUUAUUGGCGGCCGGUACAUUGGCUUCGAGCGCAGCAGAAACGCGAACUCGGGCCCGUCGUAUUGGCUCCCAGAAGCUAUCUUCACAAUUUUGACCUCGGAUCAGGUAGGGAUACCCGCUGAACUUAAGCAUAUCAAUAAGCGGAGGA